RNAcentral lists this long non-coding RNA (447 nucleotides) under Macaca mulatta (Rhesus monkey). RNAcentral describes it as "lncRNA (ENSMMUG00000039753.2)". Lineage: Eukaryota; Metazoa; Chordata; Mammalia; Primates; Cercopithecidae. The record is from RNAcentral.
AGAGCUGAUUCACAUAAAGGGAAACAUCAUGGGCACAGAAGAAAAUUCCAUGAAAAGCAUCAUUCACAUUGAGAAUUUCCAUCAUAUGGAGGCUAAAGAUCAACUUAUCUGUAUUACAAUUGAUAUCCUCAGUAAUCUUGGGGCAUGAUUAUAAAGGACCAAACAACUAUGAAGUUCUUCAUCUUUACCUGCCUUUUGGCUGUUGCUCUGGCACAGCAUGAAUCUGCCAGCAUCUACCAAGAAAAGUUUAAGCCAAACAAUAAUAUGGUCUUCCAAAUCAGUCAGGAAACUGCAAAUAAAAUAGAUACAAUGGAAUCUACCAGCAUCUCCCAAGAAGACUCAAUAAACAUGAAGUUCUUCAUCUUUACUUGCCUUUUGGCCAUUGCUCUUGCAAAGCAUGUAAGUAUAAUGAAACAUUUAUAAGUAUCUAUUCUAAUUUAAAUAUAA